Molecule: ribosomal RNA, 192 nt
Filed under: uncultured bacterium
Lineage: Bacteria
Description: partial 16S ribosomal RNA
Rfam family: Bacterial small subunit ribosomal RNA
Source: RNAcentral
AACUCGACUGCAUGAAGCUGGAAUCGCUAGUAAUCGCGAAUCAGAAUGUCGCGGUGGAUACGUUCCCGGGUCAUGUACACACCGCCCGUCACACCAUGGGAGUUGGUAACGCCCGAAGUCAGUGACCCAACCGCAAGGAGGGAGCUGCCGAAGGCGGGACCGGUAACUGGGGUGAAGUCGUAACAAGGUAGC